CUUGUUAGCAACCGCCUUUUUUAAGACACAGAGAAGCUUCAAAGUUCACGAGUGGGGGUGUGUGUGACUCGUUAUGAGUCACUGAUGCGCAGCACCUGGGAGAGACACCGGCAGAGAUGUUGAGUUCAGCAAAAUGAUCCAGCACAGGACGUCCUGAUGUGUUCGAGGGUGAGGAGGAGCUCCACUCCUUCAGUCAGUGCCUGGAGGUAUUGAAGAAACGACUUGAUGACAAGAGGUUUGAUUUUUCAGACAGUGGAGCUCAUGAAUGCAGAGAGAGAAUCUGGAAAGGAUCUGCAUGGACAAAUCAUCAAACAGUGCCUGACUGCGAUACGAACCUAAGCUUGGUGUAUGAGUAAUUUAAUAAGUGUUCAUCAGGGGGGGAAGUAAUGAAUUACAUGUACUCUCUUUAUGUUGUGUUUUUUUGUGUGGGUUCUUGUACUUUUGAGUAUUUUUAGAAACAGUGAUUUACUUUUACUUGAGUACUUUUUUAUCACAAGUGUUGUACUACGCUACAUUUCAAGUUGUUACUGAGUAAAAACAAGUCCUGUGAAUCAGUCCUGAAGAAAAGAGA
Long non-coding RNA from Epinephelus lanceolatus (giant grouper), 571 nucleotides. RefSeq lists it as uncharacterized. The record is from RefSeq and is a predicted model, not a curated record. NCBI's taxonomy places the organism in Eukaryota, Metazoa, Chordata, Actinopteri, Perciformes, Serranidae.